This 478-nucleotide ribosomal RNA is filed under the name uncultured bacterium. RNAcentral's name for it is "partial 16S ribosomal RNA". It matches the Rfam family "Bacterial small subunit ribosomal RNA", at positions 28 to 507 of the family's 1533-position model. The record is from RNAcentral.
GAUGAACGCUGGCGGCGUGCCUAACACAUGCAAGUCGAACGGAGUCCAGCCUUUAAGACCUUCGGGUCAAAGAGGGGAAGACUGAGUGGCGGACGGGUGAGUAACACGUGGGCAACCUGGCUCAUAGAGGGGGAUAACAGAGAGAAAUUUCUGCUAAUACCGCAUAAGCACACACUGCCGCAUGGCAGAGGGUGAAAAGAGAAUCGCUAUGAGAUGGGCCCGCGUCUGAUUAGCCAGUUGGCAGGGUAAGAGCCUACCAAAGCGACGAUCAGUAGCCGAUCUGAGAGGAUGAACGGCCACAUUGGGACUGAGACACGGCCCAAACUCCUACGGGAGGCAGCAGUGGGGGAUAUUGCACAAUGGGGGGAACCCUGAUGCAGCGACGCCGCGUGAGUGAAGAAGUAUUUCGGUAUGUAAAGCUCUAUCAGCAGGGAAGAUAAUGACAGUACCUGAAUAAGAAGCCCCGGCUAACUACGUG